AGUGAACGCUGGCGGUAGGCCUAACACAUGCAAUUCGAACGGCAGCACAGUAAGAGCUUGCUCUUACGGGUGGCGAGUGGCGGACGGGUGAGGAAUACAUCGGAAUCUACUUUUUCGUGGGGGAUAACGUAGGGAAACUUACGCUAAUACCGCAUACGACCUACGGGUGAAAGCAGGGGAUCUUCGGACCUUGCACGAUUGAAUGAGCCGAUGUCGGAUUAGCUGGUUGGCGGGGUAAAGGCCCACCAAGGCGCCGAUCCGUAGCUGGUCUGAGAGGAUGAAAAGCCACCCUGGAACUGAGACACGGCCCAGACUCCUACGGGAGGCCGCAGUGGGGAAUAUUGGACAAUGGGGGCAAGCCUGAUCCAGCCAUACCGCGUGGGUGAAGAAGGCCUUCGGGUUGUAAAGCCCUGUUGUUGGGAAAGAAAAGCAGCAGGUUAAUACCCCGCUGUUCUGACGGUACCAAAAGAAUAAGCACCGGCUAACUUCGUG
RNAcentral lists this ribosomal RNA (492 nucleotides) under uncultured bacterium. RNAcentral's name for it is "partial 16S ribosomal RNA". It matches the Rfam family "Bacterial small subunit ribosomal RNA", at positions 29 to 507 of the family's 1533-position model. The record is from RNAcentral.